This 995-nucleotide ribosomal RNA is filed under the name uncultured organism. Its description in RNAcentral is "bacterial SSU rRNA". It matches the Rfam family "Bacterial small subunit ribosomal RNA", at positions 356 to 1376 of the family's 1533-position model. The record is from RNAcentral.
GGGGAAUAUUGCACAAUGGGGGAAACCCUGAUGCAGCGACGCCGCGUGGAGGAAGAAGGUCUUCGGAUUGUAAACUCCUGUUGUUGGGGAAGAUAAUGACGGUACCCAACAAGGAAGUGACGGCUAACUACGUGCCAGCAGCCGCGGUAAAACGUAGGUCACAAGCGUUGUCCGGAAUUACUGGGUGUAAAGGGAGCGCAGGCGGGAAGACAAGUUGGAAGUGAAAUCUAUGGGCUCAACCCAUAAACUGCUUUCAAAACUGUUUUUCUUGAGUAGUGCAGAGGUAGGCGGAAUUCCCGGUGUAGCGGUGGAAUGCGUAGAUAUCGGGAGGAACACCAGUGGCGAAGGCGGCCUACUGGGCACCAACUGACGCUGAGGCUCGAAAGUGUGGGUAGCAAACAGGAUUAGAUACCCUGGUAGUCCACACCGUAAACGAUGAUUACUAGGUGUUGGAGGAUUGACCCCUUCAGUGCCGCAGUUAACACAAUAAGUAAUCCACCUGGGGAGUACGACCGCAAGGUUGAAACUCAAAGGAAUUGACGGGGGCCCGCACAAGCAGUGGAGUAUGUGGUUUAAUUCGACGCAACGCGAAGAACCCUACCAAGUCUUGACAUCCCUUGACAGACAUAGAAAUAUGUAAUCUCUUCGGAGCAAGGAGACAGGUGGUGCAUGGUUGUCGUCAGCUCGUGUCGUGAGAUGUUGGGUUAAGUCCCGCAACGAGCGCAACCCUUAUGGUCAGUUACUACGCAAGAGGACUCUGGCCAGACUGCCGUUGACAAAACGGAGGAAGGUGGGGAUGACGUCAAAUCAUCAUGCCCUUUAUGACUUGGGCUACACACGUACUACAAUGGCGUUAAACAAAGAGAAGCAAGACCGCGAGGUGGAGCAAAACUCAGAAACAACGUCCCAGUUCGGACUGCAGGCUGCAACUCGCCUGCACGAAGUCGGAAUUGCUAGUAAUCGUGGAUCAGCAUGCCACGGUGAAUACGUUCCCG